Cervus elaphus (red deer) is the source of this 458-nucleotide long non-coding RNA. RefSeq lists it as uncharacterized. Lineage: Eukaryota; Metazoa; Chordata; Mammalia; Artiodactyla; Cervidae. The transcript has 3 exons. The record is from RefSeq and is a predicted model, not a curated record.
AGGCUUCCCAGAUCAAAGCCAAGAGAUAGAUGGCAGUGGAUGUGAACUUCAGCACACAUGUGGGUGGAGACAUACAGGGGAGAAGGUCAAAGGGAAAGAGACUGGACUGGAGGACAGGAGACUGGGGUGUCCGACUCUUUGUGACUCCAUGAACCACAGCACACCAGGCCACCCUGUCCAUCACCAACUCCUGGAGUCUGCCCAAACCCAUGUCCAUUGAGUCGGUGAUGCCAUCCAACCAUCUCAUCCUCUGUCGUCCCCUUCUUCUCCUGCCUGGUUUCUCAGAUGUUGCUUGUUUUUGAUGAUCCUGACAGUUUUGAGGGGGACUGGUGAUAUUUUGUUGGGUGCCCCCCCACACACACACAUACAUUGAGAUUUGGCUGAUAUUUUUUUCAUGAUUGGACUGGAGUUAUGGGUUUGAGGAGGAAGACCAUGAUAAUAAAGUGCUAUUUUCAUGA